AUACGUAGGGGGCAAGCGUUGUUCGGAAUUACUGGGCGUAAAGGGCGCGCAGGCGGUUCGCCAAGUCCCGUGUGAAAUCCCCCGGCUCAACUGGGGAACUGCGCGGGAAACUAGUGGACUCGAGUUCGGGAGAGGAAAGCGGGAUUCCGGGUGUAGCGGUGAAAUGCGCAGAUAUCCGGAGGAACACCAGUGGCGAAGGCGGCUUUCUGGACCGACACUGACGCUGAGGCGCGAAAGCUAGGGGAGCGAACGGGAUUAGAAACCCCGGUAGUCC
RNAcentral lists this ribosomal RNA (274 nucleotides) under uncultured bacterium. RNAcentral's name for it is "partial 16S ribosomal RNA". It matches the Rfam family "Bacterial small subunit ribosomal RNA", at positions 523 to 796 of the family's 1533-position model. The record is from RNAcentral.